RNAcentral lists this long non-coding RNA (3057 nucleotides) under Canis lupus familiaris (dog). RNAcentral describes it as "lncRNA (ENSCAFG00000055207.1)". Lineage: Eukaryota; Metazoa; Chordata; Mammalia; Carnivora; Canidae. The record is from RNAcentral.
AGAGUAGAAUGACUAAAAUAUUUGAAUAUUAAAGGAUUAUAAUAUGAGUGUAGGAACAAACAAAAUGGUUUAAUCAUUAAGGAAUAAUAAUCCUCCCCGUGGUUCUCAAAGUGUGGUCCUUUCAUUGGCAGCAUCGGCAGUUUAUGGGAACUUGGAAAAAAUUCAAGCACUCAGGUCUCAGAAUUCUGAAUCAGAAACUAAAAUUGGGGUCCGGCCAUCAGCAUUUUACAAUAACCUCUAAGUGAUUCUUAUGAACACUAAAGUUGAACAACCAUCAUUCUAUCAAGUUAUUUAUUCUUUUAAAACAUUCUUACAAUUAUACCUUUUCAUCUGCAUUAAAAAAUAAAAGUAUUAUUAUCCAUAUUUAACAACUGAGGAAACUAAACUCAGCAAGAUUAAGAUUAAUGUCUUCACUUGAAAGUUCCACAGCUAAACGGAUGGCAGAAUCAGUACCUGAUUUGACUUUCAUUAACACUUGUCUCCAUUAACAAACUCAUAAUUUUCUUUCUUUUAAGACUGUAUUUGCUUAUUCAUGAGAGAGACAGAGAGAGGCAGAGACACAGGCAGAGGAAGAAGCAGGCUCCCUGUGGGGAGCCUGAUGUAAGACUCAAUCCCAGGGCCCUGGGAUUACACAUGAGCCAAAGGCAGAAGCUCAACCACUAGUCAUCCAGGUGCGCCACUCACAAUUUUCACAAUUUUAAUUAGAUUAAAAAACUGAAGGAAAAGGAAAGUCUAGGUGAGGCAAGACAUUGACUUUGGCAUGAAGUUGAAAGUAGGGGAAGGACAAUCAAUACACUAACAUCCAGUGAGUAUACACUCCCAAGUAGAAUGAAGGCUGCGAAGAAUGAUGUUAUAUAGUUUCUGCCAUGCACAUUCUUUGAUUCUUUUAAGAAAUCAUAUAGCAUUUAGGCAUGGAUGAUACAACCAUAGGCAAGAUACAGCACUUGCCUUCAAGGAUCUUCCAGUCUACUGGGAGAAACAUAUCAAAAAAUGGAUAAUUUCAAUAUAGAAUAAAAUAUGCUACACUAUAUAAAGGAUGCCAUGAUGAACAGGAAAGAAAAACUUCUGGCACUGAGUUUAAGAGAAAGGUUGCCAAGUGAUCCAAAGACCAUUUCCUGGAUUAUUAGAGAAUCUUACAAUGGAAUAGAGGAUAUACAGUGGAGUAGAGGAAACCCAUAAAAAUACCUAACAAUAUGAGAAAUAAUGAAUGGUAUGAACCCUUGUCAUCUCACCAAUUUUUAUCUAAAGAAGGGUGCAUGAGUUUUCAAGUGUCAUUAUUCCAAUGAACCUUUGUCCAUAGAUAUAUUUGAAAUUGAUAGAAAAGUUUUGAAUUGUUUCUUUAUUGAAUGAAAUAAUUUAAAUAUUUUACAACAACAAUCAAGCAUAUACUUAUUCUAUUUAAAAAACACUAUAAUUUAGAAUGUUAAAGACAAAAAAUAAUAGGUUAGUGCUUAUUUUUUAUUUUGGAGAAAUUAGAUACAAAAGGUAACCUGAUGCUAUUAGAAAGUGUUUAUAUAGUCAGUGCAAAAGUGGAAGACGUCACUGAUCAUGUUAUAGAAUAAGUUAUAAUAAAAGAUCCAUAUAAUCUGUAUAACCUUCUCCUCUGCUACAGAGUUCUUAUGUUAAUCAAUAUAGUUCCUUUUUAUAACAAUAUCAGCUAAAUUCAGCACAAUAAUGUUGAACUAUUCCAUUUUUGCUAAUUUAAUCUCACACUGAGUUUUCUCUUACUUUCUAACAUUAUACAUGAUGAAUGUAGAAAAACAGGCAAACACCUAACAUAUUGGAGCAGAUGGAGUAAAAAAAAAAAAAUAACUAAAUCAGAAUGAUUUUACUAAAAUUUUCAGUAUGUGAGAUGAUGAAAAUGAAGAUUUAAUAUGCAACAACCUUUCCAUUGCUGUAAUUCUACAACAGUGAGCCCAUGAUGACUAGCAUAUUUUGCGCACUAAAUUAUACUGUUUGGCAUUUUUGCUAUCUGAUUCUGGAUAAUAUAUCAGCUAGCUAAUUUCUACAUUAACUAAAAUGAAUAGCGAAUAUACUCCAUUAAUCUCACAGCAAUAUUGCAGAUAAAAUUAAGAUUUCAAGAGGUCAACUGAUGUUCCCAGGUCUCGCAGAAGAUAAAUGCCAAAACCAGGAUUUCACUUUAGAUUUAUCUGAUUUUACUACAGUAGGGUAUCGUCUCCCCCACGCACCUCCUACUCACAAACACAGAGGCAAAUAUUAACUUUUUUGUUGUUAGUUUCUAUCUUUAAUGUGCCAAGAGAAGGAAAGAACCAAUUAAUGACCCAGGAACAGUUUUUAGAAAUAUUUGGAUCAUAGUCUUGAAAAUUAAUUUUAAAAAUUCUUUCAAAUUACGUUAAUUUUGGAUAAUUUGGAAUUAAAUUUAUUUUGCAUUCAAGUGUCAUUGAUGGAUUAAUAAAUCAGUGUAUAUCUAGAUGUUGUUAUUUUAGUAAAAAGGCUGCACCUGUUCAUGUAGAAUUCACUUAGACGGCUUUUAUUGGCAGCAGGCUAAGAGUUCAAUAGCACAUUUGACAAAAGCAAAUUUCUACAACUAGGAUGAGAUAUACACUGAUAUUAUUAAAUCAAAGUCUAAAUUUAACAUAUUACCCCCAAAAUAUUGCAUUCCACCUUUUUCAAAUAAAUGUUCUUCAAAUAGAUAUUGCACCUACCUUUCUCAAAUAAAUAUUGAACUGCACCUGUCCUUUAAGCAUUGAGUCGUCAUGCAGCAAAUACCUAAAAUUCUGAAGACCUUAGUGAAUUCACUCCAUCCGAGAGGCAGAAAGAAGUGCAUGGAAUUAAAAAAUGUCUAUCUACCUCCCUUUUUACACCACUGAAAAUAUUUUACCACUUAUUAGUGGGACAGAGGAGUGGUCUGUGGUCACCAAAAUUGUGACAAUUACUAAGAAUUCACUUCUCCAGUACAAUGUAUACCCUAAUCUAUCAUUACAUUCUACAACUACUAGUGCAUAGCAUUUUUAUUUGUCUAUUCUUUAACUUUUUUUAAAACUAAUUUUUAGGACAAUGAAUACAAUGUACAAGUGAAGUGAGGUGGGAAUUGUU